GAUGAAGAACGUAGUGAAAUGCGAUACUUGGUGUGAAUUGCAGAAUCCCGUGAACCAUCGAGUCUUUGAACGCAAGUUGCGCCCGAAGCCAUCAGGUUGAGGGCACGUCUGCCUGGGCGUCACAUAUCGUUGCUCGAUGCCUAUCGCAUUGCGAUAGGACUUAGGGCGAAUGAUGGCUUCCCGUGAGCGUUGUUGCCUCGCGGUUGGUUGAAAAUCGAGUCCUUGGUAGGGUGUGCCAUGAUAGAUGGUGGUCGAGUUGGCACGAGACCGAUCAUGUGCAUGCUCCCCAAAAUAUGGCCUCUGUGACCCACACGCGUCUUUUGACGCUCAUGACGAGACCUCAGGUCAGGCGGGGCUACCCGCUGAAUUUAAGCAUAUCAAUAAGCGGAGGA
RNAcentral lists this unclassified non-coding RNA (392 nucleotides) under soil metagenome. RNAcentral's name for it is "partial contains 5.8S ribosomal RNA, internal transcribed spacer 2, and large subunit ribosomal RNA". The stretch from base 1 to 122 matches the Rfam family "5.8S ribosomal RNA", at positions 35 to 154 of the family's 154-position model. The record is from RNAcentral.